GUCAGUAACUCAACCCUAAAGGGAUUGAGCUUGUAAGAGAAAUCAAACAAGCUGUACUGACCAGACCACCCUGAGCGACUUGCCCUGAGCGAUGUCGAAGGGUAGUCGAAGGGUAGCCGUUAUUUGAGUCACGACACCUCGGAAUGCGUUCGCGCCAGCGUGCCGUCAGGCAUAGCUAGUUCCCCGCUCUGUCGCUGUAAGUUAAACAGUUCUAAAGUCACUGGAACAGUGCUUUCAGCCUAACAAGCUCUUAUAACAGGUCGAAGCUAACAUCAC
Molecule: non-coding RNA, 276 nt
Organism: Anabaena sp. 90
Lineage: Bacteria; Bacillati; Cyanobacteriota; Cyanophyceae; Nostocales; Nostocaceae
Rfam family: HNH endonuclease-associated RNA and ORF (HEARO) RNA
Source: Rfam